UUUUCCACCUCGAAAUUCUUCUCCAAGGCUUUGACUUGAUCCAGGGUUAACCUUCUUUUUUUCUCAGUAGUGUGGGUAACGUCUUCGGUGUAGUCUUCUUCUUCUUCUAGGCUCUCUAACAUUGCCUGAAACUCUCUAGUGAACCCUUGGGUUGAUUUUUGAGUCCUUUGGAAGAAGAGAUGGAGACUAAAGCAGCAAAUGAAUCUGAGGAACUGAAUCGCUUCAUAGUUGAAACUUGAAAUCAAGAAAGGACCUUAGCAGAUAUAUUGCUCAAGAAGUGCUAUAGUGUUCGUAUAGAGAAACCAUAACCAGGACUACUGUGGCAAGAUAUUGACCAGAAUGGGAAAAUGAUUCGAUAAAGAAAUUAAAGCCUCUUGGCAGGCAGGGGUUUGCUCACUCUCUUAAGCCCCAC
Molecule: unclassified non-coding RNA, 412 nt
Filed under: Hevea brasiliensis (rubber tree)
Lineage: Eukaryota; Viridiplantae; Streptophyta; Magnoliopsida; Malpighiales; Euphorbiaceae
Source: RNAcentral